RNAcentral lists this small RNA (1174 nucleotides) under Pan troglodytes (chimpanzee). RNAcentral's name for it is "retained intron". The record is from RNAcentral. Lineage: Eukaryota; Metazoa; Chordata; Mammalia; Primates; Hominidae.
CCUCCUGAGUAGCUGAGACUACAAGCAUGUUGCCAACACGCCUGUCUCAUUUUGGCAUUAUAAUAUUUUUAGUGGAGAUGAGGUUUCGCCAUGUUGGCCAGGCUGGUCUCAAACUCCUGGCCUCAAAAUUGAGUUUUAUUUUUUAGAUUGCCAAAUUUUAUGACAAAUGGUCACACCCACUGUUGGAGAGGGUACAAAGAUAUGAGCACUCAUAUAAUGGAGGAAUUGAAGCUAUUUAAAUGACAUUAGUGAAGAAUGUUGGUGGCAUAAAUUUUUAAAUGAGUGACCUUUUUUGAUUUUCUUUUUUAAAUUUAUAUAUACACAGAAAAGAGUGAAUAAAUAAACACCAGAAAUGUAGAAAUUAUUGCUGGGUGAUUAAGUGUGGUUUUGUUUUUGGUUUCAAUAUAAUGGCCAUGUAUUUGAGGAUUGGGGUAACAAGGUAGGAGGAGAUACUUCUUUUUACGUAAAAUUUGGCAAGUUUUUAAUCUAAUUUACUAGUUAUAUAAACUGUAAUUUUCAUUUAGAAAGAAAAAAAAAAACAAAGGAAACAAGUGCAUCAUCAUGCUCAGCCUGAGUCAGAAAGCAGCAGCACGGAUUGGCUUCUUGUAGCCUUGAGAUGGGAACACAGAGUGGUCUUCAGUCUACUCGGAAUAACUUUCUUCAUUGAAAUAUUUUCAUUGACUUACUUUUUUCAUUUCCUCAUAAUAUUGUCCCUUUAUAAAUUAUCCCAAAAUUAAAUUAACAUCUCGGUAGUUGUGAAGUGUGUUUUAUUUUAAUGCAGUAUUGGUAUAUGUUUAAGCUGAGUCAGAAAUGUACACUGUUUUCUCCUUUGCAGGCUAUUGAUUACUAUUUGAAAGCGCUAAGGUCAUUGGGAACACGAGACAUACACCCAGCUGUUUGGGAUUCAGUGAACUGGGAAUUGUCCACUACUUACUUUACUAUGGCAACUCUACAGCAAGAUUAUGCUCCGUUAUCUAGAAAAGCUCAGGAGCAGAUUGAAAAAGAAGUCAGUGAGGCCAUGAUGAAGUCCCUAAAAUACUGCGACGUGGAUUCAGUGUCUGCUCGACAGCCCCUUUGUCAGUAUCGAGCUGCAACCAUCCAUCACAGGCUGGCCUCCAUGUACCACAGCUGUCUGAGGAAUCAGGUUGGUGAUGAACACCUUAGGAAACAACAC